CAGGGCCCUGGGCCCACACCCCCGCGCGCACCGCACCGACGAGGCUGGAGCGGGAGCGGCUGUGGCGGUGGCCGGGCCGAGGCCGCGUGGGGAGGGGCUCCGAGGAGUCAGCCUGCUCCAGUCUUACGGCAGCAGUCCCUGACGUCCUGGUGGAGAGGCGAUGAGGACACAGCGUUGAGACAGAUGCUGAGAUUGAGAAAGGUAAAGCGACUUGCCUGCAGUCACAAGUGAUGAAAUCAGACUGAAAACUAGAUGUUUCUUAACACUCUAGCCCUGCUGUGAAGGUUUGCAGAGCUUCCUGAUCAAUGGGGAGUCAACCUGUGUCCUUCAUUCAUCCUCUCUCUAUUGUAUCUCUUCCCCACUUCUGAUGUUCUCCACGACCUAGGAGCAACCGGUAGCCUAUGAAUUGCCUUAGAUGCUCAGUGUGUGGUUCUGACCAAUGUAGGUCCCUCUGAGGCAGCAGUCUUUUAAAAUCAUUACCUUGGAUCUAUUUAGGAAAAACUUGAAUUAGAAGCAGAUCUAUCCAGAGUCACUUAUCAAGAGUACUGGCUUUAUCCUAUUUGGAUUAAUAGACCAACCAUUUAGCAUUACCAGGCAGUUGGCACCAUAUAUGAGAGAAUAGAUCUUUCAUCUCUAUUAGCAGCAAAAACACUUAAUGAAGCAAAGGCAGCCUUUUCUACCACUACAUAUAAGUAUUGCUUUGAUAUUGCAAUCUUUCUUGUAGUUGAUUCAAUAAACCCUCUUUCUUCUGGGUGUUGUUAUCAUUUGAAAAUCUAUAAGGAGUAAAAUCUUUCCAGAUUAAUGGAAUUCACAAGUCACAUGCUAGGCCUGGCCAGGGCUUGCUCGAUACCCUUCUUCAACAGGACUAUUCUAAUACAUUCCCAGGAAGAGCAUAUAGGAUGAGAAGAGAAAAGGAUCCAGGCCUGAACCCUAGGAGGACCAGUAUUUGGGGAGCCAGCAGAGGAGAAAAAGGCUAAGAAGAAAACUGAGAAGAAACAGUAAGAGAAGAAUCAGCAGAGAGUAAUGUCAUGGAAGAAAUCCAAGGGAGGAAAGACUUUCAAGAAGGAAGAAGUGGUCAACAGCAUCAAAUGCAGCAAAGAUUUCCAAUAAGUUCAAGGCAAAAAAGUAUCCUUUGAAUUUGGCAACAUUGAAGGCCUGGAUCCCCAUGAUAAGAUCUGUGUCAGCAGGAAAUGAGGGCAGAAGCCACAAUGCAGUGAAUUGAACAAAUGAAAAUGAGGAAGUAGAAUAAGUGCAGACCUUCCUUUUGAGAAAUUUGUAAGGAAGAAUAGACUGUGGUGAAGAGUGAUCUGAAGUUAAAGAUUCUGGUUUUGUCUCUUUUUUUUAAGAUGAUAGAGACUUAAACAUAGAUAUCAACUACAAAAAGAUACCAGUAGAGAAGAUGAAUUUGAAAAUAAAAAAGAUGAUGAGAGAUGGAGGGAGAUCCUGGAGGCAACAAGAGGAGAUAGGAUCAAGGGCUUAUGGAGAAGAAUCAGACACCUUAACUUUAUAUGCUGACAGGAAAGGGGAGAGGGUAAGGGUAUAGGUAGGGUAAUUAAUAAAGUGGAGCAGGAAAGAGGUUGAGGGGUAUCGUGCCCAGUGAUAUCAACAUUUUCAAAGUCUUUAGCUGAGGAAGGGAAGAAGUUUGGAUGGAGAACAAGAAAAACCAUACAAGGUAAUUAUUAUCCUGUAGUGAACAUGUCAUUUUUGUUGUUAAUCUGCACAGCAUGCGCACCCCCCCCUUCUUAUUGGUAAUAACACAUAAGUGUUCUUUAAAGAUCCAUCCCGCCCCACUCUAAGUCUAUGUGGUUCAGACAGGAAUCACCCCAGUCUCAUACACACGUCAGUGGCUAGGUUCCUAACCCAUCAUCAGGUCAAAGUGAUCAGUUCAGAAAUGGGCACAUGAUGAAAUCAGAUCCAGGAAUUUUCCUGCAACCGUUGGGCAAGAGGUGCUCAUAGAAGGCAAACCUGGUGGACAUCCUGCCACCGGGAGAGAGCCUGCCUGAGAACAAAACCAACUCAAAGAAAGCAGAGCUAAGGGGUGGAGAGAGACAAAUGCCUGGUAACAUCAUUUUAACAUAUAUAUUUACCUCUGCCUAAAUUCACAUAAGUCAGUAAAUUUCCUUUGUACUUAACAUUAAUUUGAGUUGGGUUUUAUUACUUGCAACCAAGAGUUAUGCUGAAUCUGUGUGGCAGAUAUUGCCUGCCGGAACUCAUCCCCACACCCACUCUUCUCUAACCUCCCCUGGAAGGGGCUGGAAAUCUGAAAACCACAUUUCUCAGAUGCUUUUGUCACUUCGUUCCAGUUAGGUUCCGCCAGUGGGAACCAUCCCAUGAGGAAGGGAGAGGUCCUCCUGCUCUUGGCAGUGCCUCUGGCAACAGCAGCAGCAGUGCUUGCUGCCUAGCAAAAGCGGAAGUGGUUCCAGGAGCAUCAGCAGUACAAACUGCAGGUGCAUUAGCAGCUAGUGCAGAUUUGUGGGUUCCGGCUCCUUGAUCUUUGGGCUCCCCUCUUCUCCCUUUUGCUCCUCGAAACCAAGAUUAGUGGUAGUUUCCUGGUCUCUGGGUAACUCUGCUUUCCUUUUUAUGUUUCUCCAGACUUCCCUUACAACUUUGUUGUUGUUGUUGUUGUUUUUAAGUA
This is a long non-coding RNA of Leptonychotes weddellii (Weddell seal), 2635 nucleotides long. RefSeq lists it as uncharacterized. The record is from RefSeq and is a predicted model, not a curated record. NCBI's taxonomy places the organism in Eukaryota, Metazoa, Chordata, Mammalia, Carnivora, Phocidae.